RNAcentral lists this ribosomal RNA (232 nucleotides) under uncultured bacterium. Its description in RNAcentral is "partial 16S ribosomal RNA". It matches the Rfam family "Bacterial small subunit ribosomal RNA", at positions 99 to 334 of the family's 1533-position model. The record is from RNAcentral.
CGGACGGGUGAGUAAUGCUUGGGAAUCUGGCUUAUGGAGGGGGAUAACGACGGGAAACUGUCGCUAAUACCGCGUAGAGUCGAGAGACGAAAGUGCGGGACCGCAAGGCCGCAUGCCAUGAGAUGAGCCCAAGUGGGAUUAGGUAGUUGGUAGGGUAAAGGCCUACCAAGCCGACGAUCUCUAGCUGGUCUGAGAGGAUGACCAGCCACACCGGGACUGAGACACGGCCCGG